GCGGGCAGAUCAUGAGGCCAAGAGAUCGAGACCAUCCUGGCCAAUAUGGUGAAACCCCUUCUCUACUAAAGAUACAAAAAAUUAGCUGGGCGUGGUGGUAUGUGCCUGUAGUCCCAGCUACUUGGGAGGCUAAGGCAGGAGAAUUGCUUGAACCUGGGAGGCAGAGGUUGCAGUGAGCCGAGUUCGUGCUACUGCACUCCAGCCUGGCGACAGAGCAAGACUCUCCACUAGCUCCAUGCACCGUGUUGUAGGAGACGGUCCCUAAAGGGUCUGCAAGCUGGAGGAGGGAGGGCACGGCAUAGGCCUGGCUGUGGGCAAACACAGGGACAGGGCCCUAGGGGAGGCUGAGAGUU
Molecule: long non-coding RNA, 353 nt
Filed under: Homo sapiens (human)
Lineage: Eukaryota; Metazoa; Chordata; Mammalia; Primates; Hominidae
Description: non-protein coding lnc-SLC34A1-3:1
Source: RNAcentral